This 429-nucleotide ribosomal RNA is filed under the name Actinomycetes bacterium. RNAcentral's name for it is "Actinobacteria bacterium partial 16S ribosomal RNA". It matches the Rfam family "Bacterial small subunit ribosomal RNA", at positions 355 to 776 of the family's 1533-position model. The record is from RNAcentral. Lineage: Bacteria; Bacillati; Actinomycetota; Actinomycetes.
UAGGGAAUCUUCCGCAAUGGGCGAAAGCCUGACGGAGCAACGCCGCGCGAGUGAUGAAGGUCUUCGGAUCGUAAAACUCUGUUAUUAGGGAAGAACAAAUGUGUAAGUAACUAUGCACGUCUUGACGGUACCUAAUCAGAAAGCCACGGCUAACUACGUGCCAGCAGCCGCGGUAAUACGUAGGUGGCAAGCGUUAUCCGGAAUUAUUGGGCGUAAAGCGCGCGUAGGCGGUUUUUUAAGUCUGAUGUGAAAGCCCACGGCGCAACCGUGGAGGGUCAUUGGACACUGGAAGACUUGAGUGCAGAAGAGGAAAGUGUAGUUCCAUGUGUAGCGGUGAAAUGCGCAGAGUUAUGGAGGAACCCCCGUGGCGAAGGCGACUUUCUGGUCUGUAACUGACGCUGAUGUGCGAAAGCGUGGGGAUCAAACAGG